This 485-nucleotide unclassified non-coding RNA is filed under the name Hevea brasiliensis (rubber tree). Lineage: Eukaryota; Viridiplantae; Streptophyta; Magnoliopsida; Malpighiales; Euphorbiaceae. The record is from RNAcentral.
AGAGACCAAUGAGCAGUAGGCAUUGUCUUGUUUCAUAUGUAAGUAUUAAUAUACCAAGGGGUUAUUGAAAUUAAAUUCCUCCCUCAUCUAUUUAUUUUGGGUUGUGUUCAAAAAGGCCAAAACUGUGCUGAUGAGUUGCUGACCAGGUAGAAAUUAAAAGCGUAAUCUGGGGAUUUAUUUAGUGUAGUCAAGAUGUUCUUUAGAUUCAUCUUGCAAUGUUACCAGCUGCACUCAUGUUAGGGCUGUCAGAAGCAUGCAGAGCUGUUCUAGACUAGUCAUGAUUGCUCAUUUUUGUUUGUCAUUAAGCAAUCUAAUUGGAUGUGGCAUGUAUUACAAACUUGAAUUAAACAGGCGAAGGCAAACUAGGCUGAGGCAACAGUGCAUAAUGAGUGAGAUAGGCUUACUCAGGCUAGGACUAAGCAUUGCUAAAAGGUUAGAACUAAUUAAUUAGGUAGCUAGCUCUUCACCCUUAUAAGCCCUUUGAA